This 405-nucleotide ribosomal RNA is filed under the name uncultured prokaryote. Its description in RNAcentral is "partial 16S ribosomal RNA". The record is from RNAcentral.
CCCUAUGGGGUGCGGAUUGGCGGUCACUGGCGGACUUUGAAAACAAAAUUGCUGGAGGUUCUCGAGGGUGGCGUCGUCGGAACAAGAAAGUCUGACCGUUCAGGAGCGUCGCAGGGAAUACCAGCAAUCGGAGCGUACGUCAGGGACAAGAUGCAGGAGUUGCUCGCAAAAGGCCUUAUCGAAGAUGAAGAAAUCAAUAGAUUGAAGAACAAGGAAUACUGCAAGGAAAGGUUCGGCAUACACUUCCCGGUCCUCAUAGACUACGACCCUUCGCUCCCCAUAUCGGAGCAAAUGAAAAUAGGGAAAUACAACCGAUAUUGGAAGGCUGUCUUUGCCGACAAGUACCUAAUCUGCAGUCAAUGGCACAAAGGACACACGAACAAUUUUGAAAAUUGGCUAGGGAGC